UACGAAGGGUGCAAGCGUUACUCGGAAUUUACUGGGCGUAAAGCGUGCGUAGGUGGUGAGUUAAGUCUGUCGUGAAAGCCCCGGGCUCAACCUGGAGUAGCGAUGGAUACUGGCUCGCUAGAGUGCGGUAGAGGAGAGUGGAAUUCCCGGUGUAGCAGUGAAAUGCGUAGAGAUCGGGAGGAACAUCAGUUGCGAAGCGGCUCUCUGGACCAGCACUGACACUGAGGCACGAAAGCGUGGGGAGCAAACAGG
RNAcentral lists this ribosomal RNA (252 nucleotides) under uncultured bacterium. RNAcentral's name for it is "partial 16S ribosomal RNA". It matches the Rfam family "Bacterial small subunit ribosomal RNA", at positions 524 to 776 of the family's 1533-position model. The record is from RNAcentral.